Molecule: ribosomal RNA, 468 nt
Filed under: uncultured bacterium
Lineage: Bacteria
Description: partial 16S ribosomal RNA
Rfam family: Bacterial small subunit ribosomal RNA
Source: RNAcentral
GACGAACGCUGGCGGCGUGCUUAACACAUGCAAGUCGAACGGAAAGGCCCUGCUUUUGUGGGGUGCUCGAGUGGCGAACGGGUGAGUAACACGUGAGUAACCUGCCCUUGACUUUGGGAUAACUUCAGGAAACUGGGGCUAAUACCGGAUAGGAGCUCCUGCUGCAUGGUGGGGGUUGGAAAGUUUCGGCGGUUGGGGAUGGACUCGCGGCUUAUCAGCUUGUUGGUGGGGUAGUGGCUUACCAAGGUUUUGACGGGUAGCCGGCCUGUGAGGGUGACCGGCCACAUUGGGACUGAGAUACGGCCCAGACUCCUACGGGAGGCAGCAGUGGGGAAUAUUGCACAAUGGGCGGAAGCCUGAUGCAGCAACGCCGCGUGCGGGAUGACGGCCUUCGGGUUGUAAACCGCUUUCGCCUGUGACGAAGCGUGAGUGACGGUAAUGGGUAAAGAAGCACCGGCUAACUACGUG